UUGAUUAUAAGGUUAUUUAUUUAGCAAAAAGAUGAAACUGAAAGAAGUUAUGAAGCCCAAAAUCUAGUCAUUUGUAAACAACCUUGUUUUUUUUUUCUUUUGGGAUGCUAAAAUAAUUCUCAUUGAAUCUCACUUCUUACUCAGUAACUCAUUUCUAUGAAAAAGAUUUAAAAUAAUAAGUUCAAUCGAAAAUGCUUUGACCAGUUAUGAUAGUAAACUGACAUUCAUGGAAAGCUCUUCCAUUUUGUGCAUCUUCAAAAACUAUCUGAAGUGGGUUCAAGUAAUGCACCCAGGUAUGUAUGUGUCCAAGCAUGCUAAAGGAUCCACAGCAGCUCUUCUGUUGUGCCUCUUUCCUUUCUUCUCUCCCACUCUGUAGCAUCAUGUUUUACCUUGGUGAUUCCCCAGUGCCAAAUGAUGUGCUUUUGUGAAGCAAAGCUCUGCAGGUUCACAACCUGAGCCCAGGAGGAAUGGAGCUUGACUGGGCACUCCUAGUGUAAAACUUCCUGAAGAUCCAAAUAUAAAUUAUUUUGAAGUAACAAAGUUACUGAGGAUUCUCCUUUUCCAUUGAAAAAAAUGUCAAGUGACACUUCUGAUAUAUUGUCACUUGUAUCCUAAGUGAGAAAGGGCAAGUUAACAGCUGGAUACAAAGUUCAAUGAGAUAAACAAAAGUUUAUGCGCUAUUCAGAGCCAGUGGGAUGGAGCCCAUACCUGAAGGUCUGAAUCUGGGCUCCCUCAUUGCCACCUAAUUAUAGCACCUAUAUGCAGUACUUUGAAUCACGAUUUCAGAUCCUCCUCUUCUCCAAACAGAAGUAUGUGCUAUUGGAAAACUACUGACGGUAUAGUAUCCCUUCUUGAUAUGUCCCAAAUCAAUAAAUAACUAACUUCUAAUUGAAAUUAUAGGAAAAGAUUUGCUCUUCAACUGUCCACUGUCCAUACAAAAAGCAAAAUUGUAUUAAAUUAUUAAGCAAAACCAGAUCCUUUUAAAACCUCUGUUUAGUACUCUCAGUAUGAUGCAAAAACCUUAUUUCCCUUUAAUUGGUUUAUCUAUAAAAAUGAUAAUUUUCAGACAGUUGGCAGUAAAAUCCCUCAGGACUUCAGGAAGCAUAAUUCCCUUUUAAAAAUUCUCUACAUUUAUUAAUGAACUUGAAAAAUAACACUUAAAAUUGCUCUGUAGGUUUUCCCUCCUGUGCAUUGUACUCUCUACAGAGUUUCAUGGGGAACUUCAGGCAGUUCUUCCUAAUUUUUACCUUCAGGCUAUGUUUCCCAAGUGCUAACCUGGAUAACCACUGUUAAACCUGCCAGAUAAAUGUUUGUGAGACAAUGGAGAUUGCAGAUCACACAUAGUUCAUCACGGCUAAUAUAUGUGAUGGGAGUGAUAUGCUAAGGGAAAAAGAUGUGCUCACCUCAUCUUUCAUCACCAUGUUUCUCAAGUCCAUAUUUCUUGUUUUCCUAGUAAAAGUGAGCAGCACUAUUAAUUUCAGUCUUGAAAGCUUAGUUUAUAUUAAAGGAAACAUGCUCAGUCAGCAAUUAUGUACUAGGCCUGUCCUAGCAAGAACUGGGUGAUUCUCUUUGCAAACUCACAGAUCACCAAAUAUUGAUCUAGUACAAGAAAUAACAAAUUAAUUGUUGCACAUGCAGACUCAGCCUAAAAAGCAAAUUAGUCUGCUGAUAUGAAAACUAUUUUCUUAUAUAAACUUACUUUAAAUUUUUACUUUAAAGUUCUCCUAAAGGCUUAUAAUAAAUGACAGUCUAUCAUUUCAGUCUUUGCUUUCUCAUUCAAGACUGUAGCAGAGGCAUCAACUCUAACUGAAAUACUUAUCCUUUGAAAAGUGACCUAAGGCUUCACGUAGGUCCUUAAGCAGGAGUAAACUCAUGUCUUAUUUGUCUUCUAUAUACCCAGGCUUUUUUCAUUUGGUAGCCCAAAACCAGAAACUGUCAUAUAUAUAUUAAUUAUCUCUUACUGCGUCUUGAGAGAUACUGCAUGUACAGACAUUGACAUGGAGGCCUGCACCCUGAGUCUUGGGCAAAUGCCAUCAGGAAAUACUACCCACGAUCUAUUACAUAAAUUCUUAAUCCUCUUACUUUUGAGAAGAGUGUUGAUCACUAACAACGUGCUUAUUUUGUUUUCCAUAGAAAAGGCCAGAUUUAUAAUAUUGACCAGGAUGUAUUAGGAGGGUUUAACUGCUGACUGGGAGAAGAUUUGGGGCUGUGAAAACUAAGGUGCAGAUUUAGAAAUGCUAGCAAGUAGCAAGAGCAUAUAGGAGUCUGAGGCAGGAAUACGUUUUAAAAUCUGGCUUCACAGGGAAGAAAACACCAGUAUGAAAGGAAGAGUGUCUAUAGAGAUCUUGAAGUUGGACUGAUUUUUUUGGAACAUAAUUUUGCAACAGUGGUUUAAGCGAUGCAGUGGCAUCAUUACUAUAUGUUAUGUUCAGACAACAUGGUGUUUACAAUUUACAGUCCUCCUUUCCUUCCUGCCCUCAUGAGAAGAUACCUUAAAGCUGCAUACAGUCCAGUGAGUAAAAGAGAAAGAAACAGGAGGAAAAGGCACGGUACUCAUACAGUCAUCAGAAUGUGAGCCCUUUAUCUAGUCAGGCAGCAUUCUUACCAUCACCUUUACAGGUCUACUCUUACUUACUUGAAAAUAGUAAAAAAAAAACAAAAACCAAAAAACAAAUUUUUAACUUAUUUGCAGUUAACUUAUUUCAAGGUAAAAGUAGAUCAACAGCACUGCAGCUAUAAUGGAGUAAAAGCAAGAAUACGAAGGGAUAAAAAUUCACAGUUCUGUUAACAGCCUGGAUUUAUGAUCUGUGGUUUUAAAAUGAAUGCAAAUUUGUGACUAUUCUGCCUUUUCUCUAAUGGAUUAAAGAGCACGUAUUUGUAAAUGCAUCAAGAUGAAUUAAAAUAGGACAGGUUUUUUUUUUUUGUCUUAUUAAAUUAGAAUGCAAAACUCAUGUCUUUUGUCAUCAUAUAUUUUCUUUUUUCCUCAGUUAUUUGUAUUUUUUUAAAUAUUAUCUCCCAUUCCUUUUCAUUCUCCAUGUCAUCUAAUCAUUGGGCAUAUUACAAAAGACUGCUGUGGACUUGACCAAGCAAGAGGAAGCUGAAGGAGAGUGAAAUCUAGAAUGAGAAUAUCAUAUUCUUUCAUGUAUAUAGGCAGGUGCUCAUAGAUUGCAAAGAACUUUAUGGGGAAAAAAAAAAAGCUAGCUUUUUAGUCUGGAAGAUUGAAGCAAGAUAUAAAAUGGUGUUGACGCAGUAAACCAAACUUCUGACUUUCUAAGUUAUAAUACCUUGCCUACUGAAUCUUGCUGUAAGUAAAUGUAAGUAAGUAAAUGAAGGCUAAUAACUGUAUUUGCAUUACCACACUUGUGCAAUCAUCUGUUCUGUGAAUUCCAUUAAGUAACACUUCACACAGAACAAAGAGAAAAUCCUUCAGAUCUGUUUCUUUCAAGGAUCCAGUAUGGAGCUUGAACUCUUAGCAGUGGUACUGGUGGCAAAUCAUCUGUACCAACAUAUUUAUGUAAGUACGCCUAUCAGGAUGCUUUUUUCUUACUGACUGAAUGAUCAUGCUAGCAGAGCAAGCAUAAAUGUUAUAACUCACUUUUGCCAAUGUUCAUCAAGCUUGAAUAUAAAAUAAAGUGCAAACAAAGCAAAACUGAUUUUAUUUUAAAUGUGGGCAAACAUUUACAGAAACUAUUUUGCAUUAUUUUCCUACUCUGUUCAGCAUUCUCAGUUCCCAGUGGUAUGAUGAGAGUUUGAAAUGCAGAAUGUCUCCCAGAGGUGCUCAGCAAUUUGCAAGAACAGCCCCACAGCUAAUAUCUCUUUGGUUCAACGGCUUCAAAUAAAUUAAAAUAUUUCUUGUUCCUACUGGCACAGAUAGAGAUUAAUCCAUGAAUAGGAAGCAACCAUUUGAGCAACUAAUUAGGAGGGCCUGUCUUGAUGAGUUUUCUUGCUUUCAGGUGGACAAGUUCAUCAAUGCAUUGUUUUCAGGGUUAUUAUAAAUACCUACUAAUGAUUAAUAAGAAAGGGAGGUACAUGCUAAAUAAUCUCUUUAUAGAUUCAUCCUUUGUUGCUUUAUUUAUUUGUUUGUUUGCUUAUUUUUAAUAAAAACUGUAGUUAUUCUGUCUUUACUAUACAGGAUAUCAAGACUGUGAAGAGAACAGUUUCUGUUGACAUUGUGGUAUAUGUUCCAUGAUACUCACAUCCACAGAUUGUGCUGGUAGAUUGCAUAGCUGAUCAUAGGUAUUACAAGGAUAGGAUAUGGUUCAGCAGUAAAUAAAGCAUCAGUUUAACAACUGUUUCAGAAAUGUCAUGAAGACAAGACAGGGCAGUUAAAUACAGACAUGUAGGUAUAAUUUCUGAUAUUUAGCAAUGUGGAAAGGAUUACGGGCUAUGAUUAUAAAUAAUUAGGGGAUGUUCCAUAAAGCAUUAUGCCCUUUGGCUCGCAGCUAUCAGAAUGAAGGCAUCAAGUUGAUGCAAGUGCUACAGUAAUGCUAAGAAAAUAAACUAUAAACAUAUGCUGAGAAAUUUUCUGAUGUGUCAUAACAAUAUGUUUACUUAACCAGUCUAAUAUAUAUAUAUAUGUAUAUACACACACAUAAUGUUUUCUAGCAAAUGUUUGCAUUUUCUAGCCCUUCCCACAGCUCAUAUUGUCCUUCCCUCUUUCAUUCAUGGGGGGUUGGACUCGAUGAUCUCUGGAGGUCCCUUCCAACCCCUACAAUUCUGUGAUUCUGUGAUUUCAUAUUACACUGAAACUUAUUUGCUAAGAUAGGUCAAUAUGUGGCAAUUUUGGAAAUUUGCACAGUUUCUUUAGGAAAGUGUUAAAUUUUACAUGCAGCCAUGUCUCGGAUUAAUGUUUAUAGAAACACUUCCCGAAAUCCUUGUGGCUGAGCAGGUCCUUUUGGAUUUCUGUUGAAAAUGGAUGCAAAAUAUACUGUGAAUAGAGUGAGGUAAAUACUUUAGCCAACUACUCUGUCUGCUUAUUUUACUCACUGCAUGCACGUUGCAAUUCAGUGUCCUUGUGUUUGUUAUAAGAAUUUGCCUAAAAUAAUUUUCUCUUGUUUUAUUUGUUUGUCUACAUUUGGAUUUUGGUGAAAAUGAGGAUGUCAAUGCUCUGUAUGCAGUGUUCAUAAUUUAAGUGUUGGUUAGAUGGAGCAGAUGAAUUACGUAUUUUUUAAUUUCUCUGUUCAGAUGAGUUGACCAAUUUACAAACUUUGCUAUUAAUAUUUAUAUAAAUAAUUCAUUAACACAUAAAAUUGAUUACUUUUUUAGGACAAAGAUUGAGCUUUCUAAUUUCAGUCCAGCAAGAAUUAAACACUAUUUUCCUAUUUUAGAGGGGAACUGUAUCAUCAGUACUUUUCUCUUUGGUGCUAAUUCUCAAGUGCAAGGUGCAGAGAGGCCUGAAUGAUUAUCAUAAUAAUAUUUAUUUGCUAACUUUGUAAUAAAUUUCUCAAAGUAUCUUUUCCAAAGCCUAUUAACAGGGAUCUUCAUUUUGACCUACUCAAUAAUAAAUCCAGUUAUUAAAAUCACAAAAAAUGUUUGCCUGUUUAAUAAAGUGCUCUUAAGGUUAAUAACCUGCAAAUAUGACAACUCAUCAUUACUAUUACUGGUAUUUUUUUAUAUGUUUGUAGAGUUUCUUUCUUUCUUCCAUAGGAAGAAAUUUUGUUUACAGUAGGGAUACUUUCAUGGUCUUCUGUUCAGAAAUACAUUUUGUAUCUAUUUAAGGAUAAUAUUCUGAGUAUUGUGGUACAUGUGAACUUUGCUAGAAUAUCAUAUGAGGUAUAAAAAGAAGAUAUCUGCAGAAAAAUGGCUCCCAGAGGGAAGUGAAUAUAGCACAGCUUGAAAUGACUUGUUCUUUGUAAUGUCCUUAGCCACCAGCAAGGCAAAUGUCUUGUGAAAAAGACAAAUGCCUGACUUCACAGUAUAUGCAAGGAGGUAGAACAGGAGGGUUUACUGGAAAGGUGUGAAAACACAAAUGGGAAAUGGUUCUUUUCUCACAGCACUCUUAUUCACACAGAACUUCAGGGAGAAUACUUCUGACUCGUAUCUGGAUAAAUAAGAGUAAUGAUUUACGUUUUUCUUUAAACCUUCGACUUGAAGGUAGAAGGAUGGAUGGAAAGAAGGAAAGAAACACACUUCAGCUUUUGAUUAAAAUGGGUAAAUUCAUGGAAUUACGACAUCUGGAGAUGUAAAGACUGUAUCUGCUAUAUGCAGCAACAUAAGCUCUUUCCAUUGCAUGAUGAGUAUAGAAUGCAGAAAAGGAUUUGUAAAGCCUAAGUUUAUUUAACAUGUCUAUACUCUGGGGCAUUUGAAUUAUUAAGACUUUAGUUUAUUCUCCUUUAAAGACAACAUUGCCAGUUUAGGUAAUGCUCAACGGGUUUGUAUAAAGAAAAGGCAGAAAUAAAAUGUAUCAAAGUCUACCAUAGAGUUAGAAGGAAAGAAAAAUAAAACAUAGAUAAACACUGAGCAGACAAAAAAAAAUCAUAAAAAAUGAAAGAUGAGUGAAUAGAAAGGAGAAGACUGAACAAAAAGCUAAUUUUGGAGAGAAAAAGACUGUUUGAAUUUAAUGUAAAUUUAUGUAUCCAGCUGAAUAAUAUCACAUAUAUUAGACAUAGGAAGGAACUGUGGCAAAUGUCCAUUCACAAUGUAAACUUUCAGUAGUGCUUUGCAGUGUUUAUUCACUGAGUGAAUGGAGCAGACAUUUCCACUGCUCUUGGUGUUUUUUUUUCUCCUCCAUUUUCUGCAGAACUUCCUCUGUACAAAUUACAAAAUCUGACUCAUGCCAUAGGUAAGGGAAGUUGGCACUAAUGGCUUUAGAUGGAUGAAGGACAAAGAAAAUGAAUGCCUAUCCAAUUUCUCAUUAAGGUGACAGGGAAUCAAUAUUUGUCUAAUAUUUGAAUUAAAUAUUUGGGAAUUAGAUAAUCUCAGACCUAUUUCUUUUUAAUUGUAUUUAGGUUCUCUGUACUCCAGAUCUCGUGAAAAUCAGCUCUCUUGUGGAGUGCCAAAAAGAGUCUUAGUUUUCACUCUGCUCAAGUGUGGCUGAAGAUUAUACUGGAAGCACGUCUGUUUAGCAGCUAUAUGAUUUGGCAGUGUUCCUUCUGGGAGCAUUAACAUGGACUUCAGUGAGUGCAUGGUUGGGAUCUGUAUAUAUCUUUCACUUGAAUAAACGACAGAGGAUGGUCUCUGGAUUCAGGUUAUGUUCAACUAGAGAUGAUGGCUUCUUCCAUUUGUAAUUUGUAACCUGACAAUCCAGAUUCACUUCACUCAUCAGCUAAAUCAUGUUUCAGAAGACUCUCACGAUUUCUGGUAAGCUGGAGUUAGAUGGAGUUAAAAACAAAAUAGUAAAUUUGAAAAAUCUGUUCCUUACUGAAGCAAUUCAGUUUCAUUUGCAGCAUCUGGAAAGAAAAUCAAAACCUUCUUGGGAAGAAUUAACACAGCAAUAAUGAGAGCAAUGGUAAAGCAUAAUGCAUAAUAAGGCAUGUUUUGUCUUGUGUCACUGAGCAUUAUCUUCACUUCAAAGAUAAUGUAUAAGUAUCAGUAUCUUUUUCCACAUAUCACUAACCCUUAAAAAGUAUGCAUGCAACUUUAUAUUUUCCCUGACCAUCUGGAUGUUGAAAUCCCUAGUAACAGUGAGAAUGAAAUCUGAGCCAAGAUAAGAUUCCAUCUAAAAUCUGAUGAGGCCAAAACUUAAAAGUUGCCUCCUAAGGGUUGCCACUGGUCAGAUGUGUUGUCAACACUGUGCUGUAGCACUCAAUAUUAAUGCCUGAUUCUUAUUCAUUAGUAUCCAGCAGCUUAAGGACAUUCUGAUUCGAUUGGUGCUGGUGUUCCAUGUAUGACCAAGAUGCCAGAUUUUUGGGCAGCAUUUUGAGUUGUUUUUUUUUUAAAUUUAAUAUUAAAAACAAAACCAAAAACAAAAACAACACAAGAAUAAAUAAUUUCUUUAAGUGUUUGUGCUACUUUCCUAGUUUUAUUUAGACAAUCCCAGGUGCUGUGAAUCCAUUCUUACUGUUACUGAUAAUUUGAACAUCCAAAUUCCUGUGUCAUACAACUUCAUAUCUGUGCCUUUCUUCUUCCUCAAGAAAUCACAGCUGAAAUUGAUAUCAAGACCUGGCCUAAUACCCUUAAGUCAGUUAGAUGAAUUCAGACAAGCUGUCCAAUCUUCAGAGGAAUCCUACAAACAAAAUGUAGUGGUGGAUGUCAGAUAGAAGCAAACAAAAGUCUGUGGCUUAGGAAUAGUUCCUUUCAUUCAUGAGUCUACAGACAGUUAAAAAAAAUAGUAAAAGCAAACGCUGUUGCCAACACUUCCCAGCUGAAGAAUAUAAAGUCUAAAUGUACUCACUGUUACACCACAGGAAAGGAGAAC
Molecule: long non-coding RNA, 8356 nt
Organism: Lagopus muta (rock ptarmigan)
Lineage: Eukaryota; Metazoa; Chordata; Aves; Galliformes; Phasianidae
Exons: 3
Source: RefSeq, a predicted model, not a curated record